This 585-nucleotide ribosomal RNA is filed under the name uncultured bacterium. Its description in RNAcentral is "partial 16S ribosomal RNA". It matches the Rfam family "Bacterial small subunit ribosomal RNA", at positions 355 to 1375 of the family's 1533-position model. The record is from RNAcentral.
UGGGGAAUUUUGGACAAUGGGCGAAAGCCUGAUCCAGCAAUGCCGCGUGUGUGAAGAAGGCCUUCGGAUUGUAAAGCACUUUUGUCCGGAAAGAAAUCCUUGGCUCUAAUACAGUCGGGGGAUGACGGUACCGGAAGAAUAAGCACCGGCUAACUACGUGCCAGCAGCCGCGGUAAUACGUAGGGUGCAAGCGUUAAUCGGAAUUACUGGGCGUAAAGCGUGCGCAGGCGGUUUGCUAAGACCGAUGUGAAAUCCCCGGGCUCAACCUGGGAACUGCAUUGGUGACUGGCAGGCUAGAGUAUGGCAGAGGGGGGUAGAAUUCCACGUGUAGCAGUGAAAUGCGUAGAGAUGUGGAGGAAUACCGAUGGCGAAGGCAGCCCCCUGGGCCAAUACUGACGCUCAUGCACGAAAGCGUGGGGAGCAAACAGGAUUAGAUACCCUGGUAGUCCACGCCCUAAACGAUGUCAACUAGUUGUUGGGGAUUCAUUUCCUUAGUAACGUAGCUAACGCGUGAAGUUGACCGCCUGGGGAGUACGGUCGCAAGAUUAAAACUUAAAUGAAUUGACGGGGUCAUAGCUGUUUCCU